AGAUAGCUCAGUUGGUAGAGCAGCGGACUGAAAAUCCGCGUGUCGGUGGUUCGAAUCCGCCUCUGGGCACCA
RNAcentral lists this transfer RNA (72 nucleotides) under Mesorhizobium sp. L2C067A000. RNAcentral describes it as "tRNA-Phe". It matches the Rfam family "tRNA". Rfam says of the family: Transfer RNA (tRNA) molecules are approximately 80 nucleotides in length. Lineage: Bacteria; Pseudomonadati; Pseudomonadota; Alphaproteobacteria; Hyphomicrobiales; Phyllobacteriaceae. The record is from RNAcentral.